This 433-nucleotide ribosomal RNA is filed under the name uncultured bacterium. Its description in RNAcentral is "partial 16S ribosomal RNA". It matches the Rfam family "Bacterial small subunit ribosomal RNA", at positions 29 to 507 of the family's 1533-position model. The record is from RNAcentral.
AACGAACGCUGGCGGCAUGCCUAACACAUGCAAGUCGAACGAGACCUUCGGGUCUAGUGGCGCACGGGUGCGUAACGCGUUGGAACCUGCCCUUAGGUUCGGAAUAACUCCCCGAAAGGGGUGCUAAUACCGGAUAAUGUCUUCGGACCAAAGAUUUAUCGCCUUUGGAUGGGCCCGCGUUGGAUUAGCUAGUUGGUAGGGUAAAAGCCUACCAAUGCGACGAUCCAUAGCUGGUCUGAGAGGAUGAUCAGCCACACUGGGACUGAGACACGGCCCAGACUCCUACGGGAGGCAGCAGUGGGGAAUAUUGGAAAAUGGGCGAAAGCAUGAUCCAGCAAUGCCGCGUGAGUGAUGAAGGCCUUAGGGUUGUAAAGCUCUUUUACCCGGGAUGAUAAUGACAGUACCGGGAGAAUAAGCUCCGGCUAACUCCGUG